AAUGGCUCAUUAAAUCAGUUAUCGUUUAUUUGAUAGUACCUACCAACUACAUGGAUAACCGUGGUAAUUCUAGAGCUAAUACAUGCUAAAAACCCCGACUUCGGGAGGGGUGUAUUUAUUAGAUAAAAAACCAAUGCCCCUCGGGGCUUCUUGGUGAUUCAUGAUAACUUAACGGAUCGCAUGGCCUUGCGCCGGCGACGGUUCAUUCAAAUUUCUGCCCUAUCAACUUUCGAUGGUAAGGUAUUGGCUUACCAUGGUUUCAACGGGUAACGGGGAAUUAGGGUUCGAUUCCGGAGAGGGAGCCUGAGAAACGGCUACCACAUCCAAGGAAGGCAGCAGGCGCGCAAAUUACCCAAUCCCGACACGGGGAGGUAGUGACAAUAAAUACUGAUACAGGGCUCUUUUGGGUCUUGUAAUCGGAAUGAGUACAAUUUAAACCCCUUAACGAGGAACAAUUGGAGGGCAAGUCUGGUGCCAGCAGCCGCGGUAAUUCCAGCUCCAAUAGCGUAUAUUAAAGUUGUUGCAGUUAAAAAGCUCGUAGUUGAACCUUGGGCCUGGCUGGCCGGUCCGCCUCACCGCGUGUACUGGUCCGGCCGGGCCUUUCCUUCUGGAGAACCGCAUGCCCUUCACUGGGUGUGCCGGGGAACCAGGACUUUUACUUUGAAAAAAUUAGAGUGUUCAAAGCAGGCCUUUGCUCGAAUACGUUAGCAUGGAAUAAUAGAAUAGGACGUGCGGUCCUAUUUUGUUGGUUUCUAGGACCGCCGUAAUGAUUAAUAGGGAUAGUCGGGGGCAUCAGUAUUCAAUUGUCAGAGGUGAAAUUCUUGGAUUUAUUGAAGACUAACUACUGCGAAAGCAUUUGCCAAGGAUGUUUUCAUUAAUCAGUGAACGAAAGUUAGGGGAUCGAAGACGAUCAGAUACCGUCGUAGUCUUAACCGUAAACUAUGCCGACUAGGGAUCGGGCGAUGUUUCUAUCUUGACUCGCUCGGCACCU
RNAcentral lists this ribosomal RNA (991 nucleotides) under Tetraploa sp. KT 1684. RNAcentral describes it as "SSU rRNA". It matches the Rfam family "Eukaryotic small subunit ribosomal RNA", at positions 92 to 1088 of the family's 1831-position model. Lineage: Eukaryota; Fungi; Ascomycota; Dothideomycetes; Pleosporales; Tetraplosphaeriaceae. The record is from RNAcentral.